Molecule: long non-coding RNA, 486 nt
Filed under: Phaseolus vulgaris (common bean)
Lineage: Eukaryota; Viridiplantae; Streptophyta; Magnoliopsida; Fabales; Fabaceae
Description: long non-coding RNA (PVUL_LNC002004)
Source: RNAcentral
UACUGAAGUCUUCGUUUUCGUCUUUCGGACGGGCAGGUUGCAGGGUGCUUGACUAGGGUCCUUCUUGUCUCCUUGUUUCUCCUUCGGCUCUCGGUCUUGGAUGAACACCGAAUGGGGUAUCUGCGGAAGGCACUCCGACGCUCAAGUCAGUAAAACGGGUGAUCGGUAUUCGCGUAGGUGCACAGUAAUAAAUAACGUACAUUUCUCCUUGGGAUGUGUGUUAUUUAUAUUAUUUUAAUGGGCUUACCUCAUUGGGUCUGAUUAGUGGAAUGGAUCACACUUAGGGUUGCAUUACCUAAUCCUUAAUAAUGACUUAGUUUCACUAACCUUGGUUUGAGCGUUAAUGGUUAUACAUGUCGGUCGGUCUGACCAUGCGUGGUGUGUCGGUCGGUCGGGCAGAAAUACGCCGGCGAGCGUGUGUCUCGAUCAUCUCAAACAGAGAGACCGAGACACGUCAUGAUGUCGGUCGACCAUAUCGGUACAGUU